GACGUAGGGGGCCAGCGUUGUUCGGAAUUACUGGGUGUAAAGGGUUCGUAGGCGGUGUGGCAAGUUGGGAGUGAAAUCUCUGGGCUCAACCCAGAGGCUGCUUCCAAAACUGCUGUGCUUGAGUGUGGGAGAGGCGCGUGGAAUUGCAGGUGUAGCGGUGAAAUGCGUAGAUAUCUGCAGGAACACCCGUGGCGAAGGCGACUCGCUGGAUCAUUGCUGACGCUGAGACGCGAAAGCGUGGGGAGCAAACAGG
This 253-nucleotide ribosomal RNA is filed under the name uncultured bacterium. RNAcentral's name for it is "partial 16S ribosomal RNA". It matches the Rfam family "Bacterial small subunit ribosomal RNA", at positions 524 to 776 of the family's 1533-position model. The record is from RNAcentral.